CCUUCCUUUCCUUGGUAGGACCAGGUGUGAGAUCAACUCCCUGAUAUGUACAAAAGGCAGAGGGAAAGGGCUCUGGCCUCCUGGCAUUCUGUCUUCAAAGCAGAUGACUUUCUGUCUGCCAGUUCUAUCCUUAAGAGCCAGAACAUGG
This is a small nucleolar RNA of Tupaia belangeri (northern tree shrew), 148 nucleotides long. NCBI's taxonomy places the organism in Eukaryota, Metazoa, Chordata, Mammalia, Scandentia, Tupaiidae. The record is from Ensembl.